This 72-nucleotide transfer RNA is filed under the name Patescibacteria group bacterium. Its description in RNAcentral is "tRNA-Arg". It matches the Rfam family "tRNA". From Rfam's summary of the family: Transfer RNA (tRNA) molecules are approximately 80 nucleotides in length. Their secondary structure includes four short double-helical elements and three loops (D, anti-codon, and T loops). Further hydrogen bonds mediate the characteristic L-shaped molecular structure. tRNAs have two regions of fundamental functional importance: the anti-codon, which is responsible for specific mRNA codon recognition, and the 3' end, to which the tRNAs corresponding amino acid is attached (by aminoacyl-tRNA synthetases). tRNAs cope with the degeneracy of the genetic code in two manners: having more than one tRNA (with a specific anti-codon) for a particular amino acid; and 'wobble' base-pairing, i.e. permitting non-standard base-pairing at the 3rd anti-codon position. The record is from RNAcentral.
GUCCUCAUAGCUCAAUGGAUAGAGCACUGGUUUGCGGAGCCAGUGAUGUAGGUUCGAUUCCUACUGGGGACA